This 252-nucleotide ribosomal RNA is filed under the name uncultured bacterium. RNAcentral describes it as "partial 16S ribosomal RNA". It matches the Rfam family "Bacterial small subunit ribosomal RNA", at positions 524 to 776 of the family's 1533-position model. The record is from RNAcentral.
GACGUAGGGUCCAAGCGUUGUCCGGAUUUACUGGGCGUAAAGAGCGUGUAGGCGGUCUGUUAAGUGUGAAGCUAAAUCUCCGGGCUCAACCCGGAACUAUUUCGCAUACUGGCAGACUUGAGGAAUGCAGAGGUAAGUGGAAUUCCUGGUGUAGCGGUGAAAUGCGUUGAUAUCAGGAGGAACACCCAUGGCGAAGGCAGCUUACUGGGCAUUAUCUGACGCUGAGACGCGAAAGCGUGGGUAGCAAACAGG